UUCCCAUUGAACUACAAGCACAGUCAGAGAACUGUGUUAAAGCACAAAAACUAAGACAAGAAAUGGUGGUGUCAGGAAGCCUGCAGCCUGGGGUUGGCAGAAACCAACGACACGUAAAGAAACCAAGCAGAAGAUCAAGAUGCAGAGGUUGGAGGCGAUCAACUGGCAGUGGGGCUUUGGUGGAAAAGGAGAUGUCAGAGAGGAAGGAGAGCAGGUCAUACACCAGCCCCUCUCGGCUAGAUAAGUUCUCUGCUAAAACACCUCAAACAAAAUGAGAAAUCUACUACAAAGCCAGUUCUAUUCUCUCAUCUCAAGCACCAUCCCAAAUGAUCCUGUGCAGAAGAGAAAAACCUUUCACAGAGUACACCCCCAAAAAACAAGGCAUCUCCCUGCCAGGGUAGAUGUCAGACUGGAGAGGGUUCCACUCCCAGCCCUUCCUACCAUGUUGACAGCCCCAGACAGAAGGACCACCACCAGCACCAGGAGAUCCAGAGGAGGAAAGCACCAGCAGCCCUUGUUUCCCGGCCCCCCUGGGGAAGACAUCUCCAGGGAGAGUCUCACAGAGCAGCCCAGCUGUUGUGAAAAGAUACCGCAAGGGAUAGACACCCCUGCACCUGGCUGCUAUAAAGGGAGAUGUGGAGACCGUGAAGGAGCUCCUAGGCCAGGGGGCUGACCCCAACCUGAAAGACGCCGCUGGAUGGACCCCACUGGGAUUCAUUGUGUUGGGGAAUACAACAAAAACAGCUGAACAUCAUUCUACAGGACUGUUAUGGUUCAGUGAGAAACAUGACUGGCGAAGGAGUCACUCAGAGCUGGUUUGAACAGACAUGUCAACGACCCCCCCACCCCUCUCAGUUUGGCAUGGAAUAUACAGAAGGACACCAAAUUCACAACGAGCAACAAUGUGUUUGUAGGCGUAAUUAAAAAGUUGAGGAAAGAGGGGCGCGACAAAACUGCCCAUCACGCAGCCAUAACUGAAGUUUGAACACGACAUGCAGCUCAUCAAACAAUCCAAGGCUCUGGACACUGAAACAUCUGAGGGUUUGGUGAACAAAGUGUGGUUUGAUGUUAAUUUUGGGCGAAUGGGAAGGAGGGAGAACGUUUUUUUAAAACUGACUGAUUUAAAAUAUGUACAGACACAGUUUUUACAUGAAUGUAAUGUACGUUUGCUAUCUAGCCUGUGGUUAUGUUUCACAACAACCAGUCUAGCAACACAACUUUUGUCCGGACUACUUUUUCUGGCGGAAUGUAUUUAUGAAUUUAUUUAUUAUAGCUAAAUGUUCAAUUUAGAUGUGUCGUUCCUUGCCUUGCUGUGUUGGCAACCGGUUUAUAAAAGCAAUAAGACACAUCGGGGGGUUAGUGGUAUAUGGCCUAUAUACCACGGUCAAGGGCUGUAUCCAUGUACUCGUGCAAAAUAAAACAACCCAUAGCCGCGGUAUAUAGGUCCUAUACAACACCCCCUCAGGCCUUAUUGCUUAAAUGUCCA
This is a long non-coding RNA of Oncorhynchus kisutch (coho salmon), 1486 nucleotides long. RefSeq lists it as uncharacterized. The record is from RefSeq and is a predicted model, not a curated record. Lineage: Eukaryota; Metazoa; Chordata; Actinopteri; Salmoniformes; Salmonidae. The transcript is spliced from 3 exons.